RNAcentral lists this ribosomal RNA (433 nucleotides) under uncultured bacterium. Its description in RNAcentral is "partial 16S ribosomal RNA". It matches the Rfam family "Bacterial small subunit ribosomal RNA", at positions 29 to 507 of the family's 1533-position model. The record is from RNAcentral.
AACGAACGCUGGCGGCAGGCCUAACACAUGCAAGUCGAGCGCGCCCUUCGGGGUGAGCGGCAGACGGGUGAGUAACGCGUGGGAACGUGCCCUUCUCUGCGGAAUAGCCUCGGGAAACUGAGAGUAAUACCGCAUACGCCCUUUGGGGGAAAGAUUUAUCGGAGAAGGAUCGGCCCGCGUUGGAUUAGGUAGUUGGUGGGGUAAUGGCCCACCAAGCCGACGAUCCAUAGCUGGUUUGAGAGGAUGAUCAGCCACACUGGGACUGAGACACGGCCCAGACUCCUACGGGAGGCAGCAGUGGGGAAUCUUAGACAAUGGGGGCAACCCUGAUCUAGCCAUGCCGCGUGAGUGAUGAAGGCCUUAGGGUUGUAAAGCUCUUUCAGCUGGGAAGAUAAUGACGGUACCAGCAGAAGAAGCCCCGGCUAACUCCGUG